RNAcentral lists this ribosomal RNA (404 nucleotides) under uncultured bacterium. Its description in RNAcentral is "bacterial SSU rRNA". It matches the Rfam family "Bacterial small subunit ribosomal RNA", at positions 355 to 775 of the family's 1533-position model. The record is from RNAcentral.
UAGGGAAUAUUGGUUAAUGUGCGAAAGCGCGAACCAGCAACGCCGCGUGUGCGAUGAAGGCCUUCGGGUCGUAAAGCACUUUUUGCAGGGAAGAGGAAGGACGGUACCUGCAGAAUAAGUCUCGGCUAACUACGUGCCAGCAGCCGCGGUAAAACGUAGGAGACGAGCGUUAUCCGGAUUUACUGGCCGUAAAGCGCGUGCAGGCGGCAUGGCAGGUUGGAUGUGAAAGCUCCCGGCUUAACUGGGAGAGGUCGUUCAAUACUGCCAGGCUCGAGAGUGGUAGAGGGAAGCGGAAUUCCGGGUGUAGUGGUGAAAUGCGUAGAUAUCCGGAGGAACACCAGAGGCGAAAGCGGCUUCCUGGCCCAUUUCUGACGCUCAGACGCGAAAGCUAGGGUAGCAAACGG